Ostrinia nubilalis (European corn borer) is the source of this 1042-nucleotide long non-coding RNA. RefSeq lists it as uncharacterized. NCBI's taxonomy places the organism in Eukaryota, Metazoa, Arthropoda, Insecta, Lepidoptera, Crambidae. The transcript is spliced from 3 exons. The record is from RefSeq and is a predicted model, not a curated record.
GUACACCACACACGUCGCAUCGGGAAACCGAAAAACAGUUUCACUGACAGUUCCGAAAUCACCUGACAUUCGCCGUCCCGGAGUGCGGCACCGAGUGUUAGUGAAAUGGGCCGACACGAUAUACAACUAUUUAUAAAUGCAUAAUCUCUAGCGGCGUGCUCUGAGGCUCAGUUCGCGAACAACUUGCGGCGUCGCGAUUCGUGAAAACCCGCGUGCGAAACAUGAAAACUGUCGAAAACUUCUCUGUGCCAAAAACAAUAAGAUAAACCCACAAUCAAAAAUGGAUUUCCGCCGCUAUUGUGAUUUUCAGUGAUGUAACUGUGUUGGUUUCUUCGUGAGAGACUCGAGUUAGCAAGAUGUGAAUUGGAUGAAAUCAAUGUUUACCUCUUCAGUGUUGUGAAUGACUAGUUUAAUUAUUUAUUAUAGUAUUAAAUCAUUAAUUAUGUAGUCAAAAGACGUAGAAUGGAAGCCCUUCCAAUAAACUAUGUAGCCCGAUCUACGAUGGUUGUGAUAACGUUGAAAAACACUGAUUGUGAAUCUUCCCAGGCUCAUAAAAGACUUUCAAGAAUCAAAGUGGUUGUAAUUCAGUUGUAAGUUGUGAUUAGAAGCAGAUAUAUUUAUGUCGUCGAUGGUUGUAUUUAUGUAAAUAUUGUCUACAUUUCUGGUGUUCACGUUUUUCCAUUAGAAACGUCGAAGUGAGGGUUUGUGUGGAAAUUUACCUCCAUAAUUUCCCCAGAGGUUGUGAAUAGUACAGUAAACGGACUGAAAGAAAAACUUGGAGAGUCCAUUAUCAUUGAGAUUUCGAUGUGGCAUAUUGUAUGGUGUUUGUUUGCAUAUAAAGUGUAAUUCAGUGGGUGGACUGCUCGCGAAUUGUUUGUGCUCGAGGGACGAGGAGCUUCGCUUAAGAAUGAGCUGGUGACCAGAUUGGCGGAGCGGCGACGCCCAUGUUGUGAUGGCUGCAGUUAAUUCGGUGCACACAGCCCGGCUGCCGCUGCCUACGUUCUCGCCUCGCGCUGUGCUUAUGUACAGCGCCGCAGUCGGC